UUGUUUUUUUUUCUUUUGCACGCUGCAUUUAAUUUACAGAAUGUGUUUGGACGCUGAUCUUAACAGGUCUACUCUGCACGUUACCGAAGAUUUUGUAACCGGAAAAUUUUAUUACCAAAAAAUUUUGCCAGUGCUUGUCAUCGCGAUUCUAGCUACGUUGGUAAUGCAGUUAAAAUAUUCAGAAAUUCAGCAUAUUUUACGGGGAAUUAUUUUGUUACCAGCUUAUGAGAUGGUAAAACAAUUUAUCGGUUACAAGAAUACACAGAAUGCGAAAAGAGUUUAAAAAUUGAUAGGAACUUCAUUUACCGGUUAGAAAAUUUGUAUUACCAGCGCAGAAUAGACCUUGUAUUAUACUCAAAUUUAAU
Molecule: long non-coding RNA, 365 nt
Organism: Rhagoletis zephyria (snowberry fruit fly)
Lineage: Eukaryota; Metazoa; Arthropoda; Insecta; Diptera; Tephritidae
Source: RefSeq, a predicted model, not a curated record